AGUUUGAUCCUGGCUCAGAUUGAACGCUGGCGGGAUGCUUUACACAUGCAAGUCGAACGGCAGCACGGACUUCGGUCUGGUGGCGAGUGGCGGACGGGUGAGUAAUGUAUCGAACGUGCCUAGUAGCGGGGAUAACUACGCGAAAGCGUAGCUAAUACCGCAUACGCUACCCUUCGGGGGAAAGUGUAGAUCUUUCGGGCCUCGCAAUUAUUAGAGCGGCCGAUAUCGGAUUAGCUAGUUGGUGGGGUAACGGCUCACCAAGGCGACGAUCCGUAGCUGGUUUGAGAGGACGACCAGCCACACUGGGACUGAGACACGGCCCAGACUACGGGAAAGGUGCAGUGGGGAAUUUUGGACAAUGGGGGAAACCCGAUCCAGCCAUCCCGCGUGUGCGAUGAAGGCCUUCGGGUUGUAAAGCACUUUUGGCAGGAGAAACGGGGUACGGGAUAAUACCCCGUGCAACGACGGUACCUGCAGAAGGGCACCGGCUAACUACGUGCCAGCAGCCGCGGUGAAUGCUAGUAUGACCGGAAUUACUGGGCGCAAAAGCGUGCGCAGGCGGUUCGGAAAGAAAGAUGUGAAAUCCCAGAGCUUAACUUUUGGAACUGCAUUUUUAACUACCGAGCUAGAGUGUGUCAGAGGGAGGUGGAAUUCCGCGUAGGUGCGAAAUGCGUAGAUAUGCGAGGAACACCGAUGGCGAAGGCAGCCUCCUGGGAUAACACUGACGCUCAUGCACGAAAGCGUGGGGAGCAAACAGGAUUAGAUACCCUGGUAGUUCACGCCCUAAAAAUGAUGUCAACUAGCUGUUGGGGCCUUUCGCCUUGGUAGCGCAGCUAACGCGGGUGAAGCUGACCGCCUUGGGGAGUAAUGGUCAAAGAUUAAACUCAAAGACCUGAUUUGGGACCCGCACAAGCGGUGGAUGAUGUGGAUUAAUUCGAUGCAACGCGAAAAACCUUACCUACCCUUGACAUGUCUGGAAUCCCGAAGAUUUGGGAGUGCUGCAAGAGAACCGAAACACAGGUGCUGCAUGGCUGUCGUCGUCGUCGUGAGAUGUUGGGUUAAGUCCCGCAACGAGCUAGCAACCCUUGUCAUUAGUUGUUACGAAAGGGCACCCCUAUCGAGACUGCCGGUGACAAAACCGGAGGAAGGUGGGGAUGACGUCGUCCUCAUGCCCUUACGUAGCAGGGCUUCACACGUCAUACAAUGGUCGGGACAGAGGCCGCCAACCGCGGUGGAGCCAAUCCCAGAAACCCGAUCGUAGUCCGGAUCGCAGUCUGCAGCUCGGACUGCGUGAAGUCGGAAUCGCUAGUAAUCGCGGAUCAGCAUGUCGUGCACAUGUUCCGGGCGCCUGUACACACUGCCCGUCACACCAUGGGAGUGGGUUUUACCAGAAGGGAAGGUGCUCGAACUGUAAGGAGGGCGAUUACCACGGUAGGAUUCAUGACUGGGGUGAAGUCGUAACAAGGUAG
RNAcentral lists this ribosomal RNA (1469 nucleotides) under uncultured Bordetella sp. RNAcentral describes it as "partial 16S-23S ribosomal RNA intergenic spacer". It matches the Rfam family "Bacterial small subunit ribosomal RNA". Lineage: Bacteria; Pseudomonadati; Pseudomonadota; Betaproteobacteria; Burkholderiales; Alcaligenaceae. The record is from RNAcentral.